RNAcentral lists this ribosomal RNA (210 nucleotides) under uncultured bacterium. Its description in RNAcentral is "partial 16S ribosomal RNA". It matches the Rfam family "Bacterial small subunit ribosomal RNA", at positions 568 to 774 of the family's 1533-position model. The record is from RNAcentral.
CUCGUAGGCGGUUCAGUAAGUCGGCUGUGAAAGUCCGGGGCUCAACCCCGGAACUGCAGUCGAUACUGCUGUGACUAGAAUCAGGUAGAGGAGAAUGGAAUUCCCGGUGUAGCGGUGGAAUGCGCAGAUAUCGGGAGGAACACCAGUAGCGAAGGCGGUUCUCUGGGCCGUGUAUUGACGCUGAGGAGCGAAAGCGUGGGGAGGCAAACA